CCCUGAAGAGUUUAGGUAGCUGGAUAUAAUGCGGGGUUACUGCAUUUCUAAUAAUCAGUUUAAUCACCUCCCUCGGAGCUAGCUAUUGGAGGGCAAGUUUGUGAUUUCUGCUGAACUUGACAUGGACGCUUUUUAAGUAGUACUUGGAGUGUUGGUGAGCAGCAGAUGUAGCACUCAAGCUGUGAUCACAUGAUCUUGUGGUUGUACUAUUGAUGACCUUGGUCCUACUAAUUCAGUUUAUUUGCUGAAAGCUAUGUUUGGAAAUGAUGCAAUCUGCCAGGCAACACUAAUUUCUCUGCAGCCUGUACUUAUGAGUGUUAUUGUCUUGAUGUAUUUUCUCACCACGGGAAGCCUUAGGUAUACGUAAAAUUAUCGUCUUGUAAUAUGUUCCUAGUGCUAUACUUCUCUAAUAUAUUUAUAUAUGUAAAUAUAUAUGUUACUCUUGUAUCAUCUCUUCCUAGUAUCAUAUGGUGCUUUGCUUCCGUGAUCUUGUGUAUUAGAAGUUGUUAACUAUUGUGUAUUAGAAGUUGUUAAAUAUUCAUUGGUGGCGGCCAUGUCUGCACCCGAGCUCAAAUGAGCUAUGUUGAACCGUAAAAUCAGAAAUAUAUAUAAAAAGAUCUAGUUUCAUUAUGGUAAACUAUGACAAAUGUUCUAAGAGUUUGCAAUAUUUCAUCACAAAAUCACAUUUGGAGUUGUAGCGAAAAAACAAAAUUGAUACUCUAAAAAUGCUAUUAUGAAAGCAUUUUAAAGCACUAAUUUUGUUUUUUCGUCAUCACUUUCAUAAAUGUGAUUUAGUGAUGAAAUUUUGAAACCUUUUAGAACAUUUAUCAUAAAAAAGUUCAGCUUUUUUGAAAUAUUUUAAAUAUUUUCGGAGUUGUUAAUCUCGGCUUAUUUGAGCUCUGGUGUAGAAAGGCAUUUUUGACACGCUUGUUAUCUAUAUGACCAACUCCUAACUGAGCUUGCUCGUAGUUGCGCAAAUUUGAAAUUGCUUGUGGCACUCUGUGUUCAUAUCUUCGCUCUGUUGUUCUUCAUGGAAAAAAAUGUUGAUGUGGAACUAUUUUUUUAGUACCGACCACAUUGAUGUUGUGGUGUGGAAGAAGGAUCAUCUUUCUCGUGAAUGGUGUUUUACGAGUUUCUAUGGAGCUUCGAAAGUCAAUGCUAAUCUCCGUUAGAGCGGUGUGGAGGCACAAUGCUCCCCAAGAUGCCACUAAGGCCACCGUAAUCUCCUCACGCCCUCGCACAAUGCAAGAUGCCGUGAUUCCACUAAGGGACCCUUGAGGGCGGUUACCGAACCCGUACAAAUGGCAAACCUUGGGGGCGGUCACCGAACCCGUACACGUGGCAACCCUUGGGGGCGGUUACCGGUACCCGUACAAAUUGCUCGGGGCUAUCUCCACAACCUAAUUGGAGGCCCCAACACUUUCCCGGAGCUUCACACCACAAUGAUUGAGCUCCGAGACACCACCAAGCUUCUAGGAUGCCAAAUCAUCCACGAAGAACAAUAUCUAGGGUACUAAGUACCAAAGGUAGUAAGCUUCUCAACUUUUCACUUCCACGUAUCACCGUGGAGAACUCAAACCGAUGCAACUAAUGCAAUGGGAAGAACACACGAAGUGGUCAAGUCCCUCACACUCAAAUCCCUCCACAACAACAAAAGCUAUGGAGAAAUAUGAGAGGAAGAAUAAGGAGCUCACAAAGAACUCCAAGAUCUAGAUCCAAGGGGUUCCCCUCACAUAGAGGAGAAAGUGAUUGGUGGAGAUGUGGAUCUAGAUCUCCUCUCUCAUUUCCCUCAAGAACAAGCAAGAAUCAUUGGAGGGAUUGAGAGUUAGCAAGCUCUAAGAAUGUCAACAAUGGAGGUAGAACAAGAGCUCAACGGAUAGAUGAGGCCAAGGGGGAAGAAGACCCCCUUUAUAUAGUGGGGGAAGGAAUCAGACCGUUACCCCCACUAUCUGCCCGAGCUCCAGCGGUACUACCGCUGGCUGCAGCGGUACUACCGCUGGCACUCCAGCGGUACUACCGCUGAUUGCAGCGGCACUACCGCCAGCUAGCGGUACUACCGCUGGCACUCCAGUGGUACUACCGCUGGCCCCAGCGGUACUACCGCUGGGCCUCUGGUAGUGCAAAGGCACUACCACCGCCAAGAUAGUCUUCGCAAAAAGGUCCGUCCAUGAACAACCGCUAGGCAGGCGGUACAAAGCUCCUGGAGCGGUACUACCGCUGACCGUGGCGGUACUACCGCCAACUCUAGCGGUACUACCGCUAGGUCCAGCGGUACUACCGCUCGCCACUGAAACAGCCACAACUUUCGCAUACGAGCUCCGAAUCGAGCAAACCCAAGCUUGUUGGAUUCAGGACGACAAGAGCUAUCCAAACAACCUUUCUCAUGGCAAACAUCCUUUAGGAAGUGUACAUAGAUUUAACACUGAACCCCUUUUUUACCUAGCAUCCACACCUUCAUCAGUCAAUGUGGUGGAGUGGCAAACAUCCAGUAGGUCUUGCCAUUGCACAGCCAAUUCCCCCCGCAAGCAUCUAUGAGAUUGGAGACAUGUCCCUUGAGAGUGAACAACUUAUAAAAAUUGACAUUUUUGCCAAAUGUAAGGUUAUAUAGACUUUGAAAUCUGGAAAUAAUAGAUGGCAUCCAUGUGAUUGGCAAUUAAAACCAUGUUUGCUUAGUUUUGAGUCCGUCUGUUCUCGGUGGUGCGAGCUCAUGCUGCAUUUUGAGAUUGUGUACAUAAGACGGUAAGACUGUUUGUAGGAGGAACUGGCUAGAGCCAUGGAUAGCUUAAGGUGGAGAAACAAGUGAAAAUCCAUGGAUACCAGCUAAGCGAAUGUAAUGGAAGAUAAUCCAUGGAUACCAGCUAAGGGAAUGUAAUGGAAGAUAAAUUCUACACAGUUUGCCAUGGGUUUUGAGUCAUGUCCUAAGCCACGUAUACUCUAUGUGCCCGCUGGCUUUCUGUUGGGCCUUGUAUAUUUGGUUUCUGGGAAGUACCGAGUUAGAAGAAAACUGUGCUAAGUGCUUACCUAGCAUAUAUUACCAGCCAUCCUCGUUAAGUGAAGUGCCAUUUGGAACACUAUUUUGAGCCAUAAUACACUUUUACCUAUGACAAUGACUUGUUUCUCCUAGUCACAACUCUCCAAUCUUUAGCAUGAACUACCCUUAUUAGACACUCAACUUUAACUGUACUUCCAAGUUUUUGAAGUUGAUUCGAGAAGUUCACUCUCUCCAAUCCAGGAUGUAGGUUUCUUUUAGAGUUGGGCACACGAUUAAUGGUGUAGGUAGCAAUGUUACCAUUUAUUUGUCUCUACAAUAAAUACAAGUGCUAGAGUUUCUUUUGGCAGCACAAUCAAUACUAGAGUUAUUACUAAUACUUGAUGAAACUAAUGAGGCGCUAAAUAAGCACACCAUGAGAAGAAAUGUGAUGUACUACAAUACUAGGCCUUAUUUGUCAGUUGAAAAGGCUAAACCACAAUUUUCCGUAUUUGCCAGUCCUUGCUGCUAAAUCUCGUUAGACUAAAUUAUCAGUUCCUCUAUAUCCGCAACCCCAGCCUUCAAGUUCUAAACCUUAUCUAGUCUAGAUUAAAUAAAUAUCACAUGUCACAAAGUAAAGCGAAGCAAUUGGUCUUUCCUUGUGCUUUCUAUUGGAACAGUCUCUUUCUAUCUGUGUUCCUGUAUUAUUCAGCUGCCACAUUUUGGUUCUUUAAUUGUCAACAAGUCCAAGUUUUUGCAGCCACUUUGAUGCAUUUGGAUUUAGCAAUUUCAGUUAUUACGUACACGAGUCUUUCUUGAUUAUAUUGCUUUCAAUAUGGUUAUCAUAUCUACUCACAAUCAUCUCCCUUUUGCUGAAUAGAAUUGAGAAGCUAAAGCGUGGUUUUGGUAUGCACGUCCCUGAAGAGUUUAGGUAGCUGGAUAUAAUGCGGGGUUCCUGCAUUUCUAAUAAUCAGUUUAAUCACCUCCCUCGGAGCUACCUAUUGGAGGGCAAGUUUGUGAUUUCUACUGAACUUGACAUGGACGCUUUUUAAGUAGUACUUGGAGUGUUGGUGAGCAGCAGAUGUAGCACUCAAGUUGUGAUCACAUGAUCUUGUGGUUGUACUAUUGAUGACCUUGGUCCUACUAAUUCAGUUUAUUUGCUGAAAGCUAUGUUUGAAAAUGAUGCAAUCUGCCAGGCAGCACUAAUUUCUCUGCAGCCUGUACUUCUGAGUGUUAUUGUCUUGAUGUAUUUUCUCACCAUGGGAAGCCUUAGGUAUACGUACAAUUAUCGGCUUGUAAUAUGUUCCUAGUGCUAUACUUCUCUAAUAUAUUUAUAUAUGUAAAUAUAUAUGUUACUCUUGUAUCAUCUCUUCCUAG
Molecule: long non-coding RNA, 4345 nt
Filed under: Hordeum vulgare
Lineage: Eukaryota; Viridiplantae; Streptophyta; Magnoliopsida; Poales; Poaceae
Description: long non-coding RNA (HVUL_LNC007599)
Source: RNAcentral